CUCCUGGGGCUCCCGAGCGCCCUGCCACUCAGUCCCCCAGCUCAGGGAGGCGUCUCCCGGCUUCGGUCCCUUUCAGCUUAAGCUGGCGUCACAUGAACCGCGGGGGAAUGGGCACCGCGGGAGUGGGCGGGGGUGUGCGCGCUGGGAGGGGGCCGCCCAGUCCACCUAUAUGCGCCGCAGCCUGGCUGACGGAUGCCAGGAAUUCCCAAUGAGAGGCGAUGGGGGGAAGUUUGGGCAACUCGGCCUGGCCAAUGGAGAGCCUCGGGAGGGCUCUGCCCCUUCCCCCCGCCCCCGCCCGCCUCGGCUCCCGCAGCGCAAGUGUGUCCGCCUAGCUCAGUGUGCGUGGAGAUUAGGUCCAAGCGCCAGCCCGGAGGCAGGCAGUCCGCGAGCCCAGCCGCCGCUGUCGCCGCCAGUAGCAGCCUUCGCCAGCAGCGCCGCGGCGGAACCGGGCGCAGGGGAGCGAGCCCGGCCCCGCCAGCCCAGCCCAGACCUACUCCCUCCCCACGCCAGGGCAGCCGCCGUUGCUCAGAGAGAAGGUGGAGGAAGAAAUCCAGCCCCUAGCACGCGCGCACCAUCAUGGACCAUUAUGAUUCUCAGCAAACCAACGAUUACAUGCAGCCAGAAGAGGACUGGGACCGGGACCUGCUCCUGGACCCGGCCUGGGAGAAGCAGCAGAGAAAGACAUUCACGGCAUGGUGUAACUCCCACCUCCGGAAGGCGGGGACGCAGAUUGAGAACAUCGAAGAGGACUUCCGGGAUGGCCUGAAGCUCAUGCUGCUGCUGGAGGUCAUCUCAGGUGAACGCUUGGCCAAGCCAGAGCGAGGCAAGAUGAGGGUGCACAAGAUCUCCAACGUCAACAAGGCCCUGGAUUUCAUAGCCAGCAAAGGUGUCAAACUGGUGUCCAUCGGAGCCGAAGAAAUCGUGGAUGGGAAUGUGAAGAUGACCCUGGGCAUGAUCUGGACCAUCAUCCUGCGCUUUGCCAUCCAGGACAUCUCCGUGGAAGAGACUUCAGCCAAGGAAGGGCUGCUCCUGUGGUGUCAAAGAAAGACGGCCCCUUACAAAAACGUCAACAUCCAGAACUUCCACAUAAGCUGGAAGGAUGGCCUCGGCUUCUGUGCCUUGAUCCACCGACACCGGCCCGAGCUGAUUGACUACGGGAAGCUGCGGAAGGAUGAUCCACUCACAAAUCUGAAUACAGCUUUUGAUGUGGCAGAGAAGUACCUGGACAUCCCCAAGAUGCUGGAUGCCGAAGACAUCGUUGGAACUGCCCGACCGGAUGAGAAAGCCAUCAUGACUUACGUGUCUAGCUUCUACCACGCCUUCUCUGGAGCCCAGAAGGCGGAGACAGCAGCCAAUCGCAUCUGCAAGGUGUUGGCCGUCAACCAGGAGAACGAGCAGCUUAUGGAAGACUACGAGAAGCUGGCCAGUGAUCUGUUGGAGUGGAUCCGCCGCACCAUCCCGUGGCUGGAGAACCGGGUGCCCGAGAACACUAUGCAUGCCAUGCAGCAGAAGCUGGAGGACUUCCGGGACUACCGGCGCCUGCACAAGCCGCCCAAGGUGCAGGAGAAGUGCCAGCUGGAGAUCAACUUCAACACGCUGCAGACCAAGCUGCGGCUCAGCAACCGGCCUGCCUUCAUGCCCUCCGAGGGCAGGAUGGUCUCGGACAUCAACAAUGCCUGGGGCUGCCUGGAGCAGGUGGAGAAGGGCUAUGAGGAGUGGUUGCUGAACGAGAUCCGGAGGCUGGAGCGACUGGACCACCUGGCAGAGAAGUUCCGGCAGAAGGCCUCCAUCCACGAGGCCUGGACUGACGGCAAAGAGGCCAUGCUGCGACAGAAGGACUAUGAGACGGCCACCCUCUCGGAGAUCAAGGCCCUGCUCAAGAAGCAUGAGGCCUUCGAGAGUGACCUGGCUGCCCACCAGGACCGCGUGGAGCAGAUUGCCGCCAUCGCACAGGAACUCAAUGAGCUGGACUAUUAUGACUCACCCAGUGUCAACGCCCGUUGCCAAAAGAUCUGUGACCAGUGGGACAAUCUGGGGGCCCUAACUCAGAAGCGAAGGGAAGCUCUGGAGCGGACCGAGAAACUGCUGGAGACCAUUGACCAGCUGUACUUGGAGUAUGCCAAGAGGGCCGCACCCUUCAACAACUGGAUGGAGGGGGCCAUGGAGGACCUGCAGGACACCUUCAUUGUGCACACCAUUGAGGAGAUCCAGGGACUGACCACAGCCCAUGAGCAGUUCAAGGCCACCCUCCCUGAUGCUGAUAAGGAGCGUCUGGCUAUCCUGGGCAUCCACAACGAGGUGUCCAAGAUUGUCCAGACCUACCACGUCAAUAUGGCGGGCACCAACCCCUACACAACCAUCACGCCUCAGGAGAUCAAUGGCAAAUGGGACCACGUGCGGCAGCUGGUGCCUCGGAGGGACCAAGCUCUGACGGAGGAGCACGCCCGACAGCAGCACAAUGAGAGGCUACGCAAGCAGUUUGGGGCACAGGCCAAUGUCAUCGGGCCCUGGAUCCAGACCAAGAUGGAGGAGAUUGGGAGGAUCUCCAUUGAGAUGCACGGGACCCUGGAGGACCAGCUCAGCCACCUGCGGCAGUAUGAGAAGAGCAUUGUCAACUACAAGCCAAAGAUUGAUCAGCUGGAGGGCGACCACCAGCUCAUCCAGGAGGCGCUCAUCUUCGACAACAAGCACACCAACUAUACCAUGGAGCACAUCCGUGUGGGCUGGGAGCAGCUGCUCACCACCAUCGCCAGGACCAUCAACGAGGUGGAGAACCAGAUCCUGACCCGGGAUGCCAAGGGCAUUAGCCAGGAGCAGAUGAAUGAGUUCCGGGCCUCCUUCAACCACUUUGACCGGGAUCACUCCGGCACACUGGGUCCCGAGGAGUUCAAAGCCUGCCUCAUCAGCUUGGGUUAUGAUAUUGGCAACGACCCCCAGGUACUCGCCUCCUGCAUGGAGCACGCUCAGGGGUGGCGUCUGGGGCGAGAAAUAAUGCGUUUUUCCUUUUUCUCUUCUCUCUGUCUGGAUCUCCUGUCCCCGUCCUAUGGGCCAUGGGGCUCGUCCUCUCCUGCUGUCUCUGUCUGCCCUGUCACUGGUCCACCCUCUGCCCUCUGCUGUCUUUCGUGGCAACCUGCUGGGUGCCCACUGUCUUCCAUCCUCACCGCUCUUCAUCCCAUGGGUGGAUUUUUGCAUCUCCCUGCUCUGUCUUCCUCCUGUCUUUGGACAUUGCCACCCAUGUGUGUUCGCAUCUUCUCCUCCUAUGUUCCUUUCCCCAUCCUGAUCCCCCAAACCAUAAACCUCAUCCCUGCUCUGGCCAUCUGUUUCUGUCUUCCUGGCCCCGGGCCGGCCCUUCCUCUUCCUGCCUUCCCGACCCUCCUUGUGUCUUGGUACCACUGCCCCCCACAGAAGAAGACAGGCAUGAUGGACACGGAUGAUUUCCGCGCCUGCCUGAUCUCCAUGGGUUACAACAUGGUAACGUAAACCCCACCCUCUGUCUGCCCUGGUGAGGAGGCAGCCAGCUGGCGGGAGCGGCCAAGUCCCAGGAGUGGCAGGCUGGAGGCCCUCAGGCUAGGGAUUGCCCUCCCUGGAGGAGCCACAAGGCCCAUGUCCUUGGGGAAGAUGGCUCCCUGAAAGCCGGCCCGGCCACCGGCCUGUGUGUAUCCAGGAGCCCUGGCCUCCUCGUCUCAGUCUCUGUGCUACUUCAUCUUCUGGUACUUCCUCACUCCCACUGUGGACAGCUGGGCUGACCCUGAGACUGGCAGGAAGGACUGGUGGUGUGGGACGUCCCAGGUUGGGGGUUGGCCUGCGUCACCUCACAUGGAGCAUGGAAAUUGAGACCUUCCACCUCCGUCCUGGCGGUGGCUCCGGUCGGGCCUGCUGCCCCUCUGGAUUGUCCCAGGCCGUUCCCCACUCCCCAACCUUCCUAUUCUGUCCCCCCUCACACAGACAUUCUGAGCAGGGCAGUCAGGUGACUCCUGGGCCAUGGUGCCUAGUGAAGAGCUCACAAGCUGCCCAGUGCAGGGCAUGGGCAUGGGGCUAGGAGCAGUGAACCUGGGAGUAAAUCCCAGCCCUGCCAUCAUUAGCGUGUAGCCUCAGGUGAAGUGAGGGAACCCUACAGGACUGUUGCAAGGGUUAAAUGAAGGAAUUUAAGUCUGUGCAUGUAUCUGGCACAUAGAAAAUACAGUGUGGUGGGGAGAGAACAGAUUCUAGAACCAGACUGCCUGAGUUCAAAUCCCAGUUCUGCUGCUUCCUGGCUGUGUGACCCUGGGCAAGUCACUUAGCCUGUCUGGGCUUCAGAUUUCUCAUCUGUACAAUGAAGAUAAUAAAAUACCUACCUUUAUGGUUGUAGUAAGGAUUAAAUGAAUUGAAAUAAAGCUUUUAGGUUAAUACUUGGCAUAUAAGAUAUGCUGCAUAGGUGUCAGCCAUUGUUAAUCGUUGUGAUCACUGUAGUUAUUAUCAAUAUGAUUAUUUGCUGUAAGAGGAACCCAGGCAUCUGCAGGGCAUGGGAAACCCUGAGCUAGGUCUCUCCUCUUGGGUGUUGUGUCCCCAUCAUACCCUUAGGACAACCCAGGUUAGGUCAGGGGGAUGUGCCCUCCUCUUCCAGCCACAGGCUGAUCUAAGCCCCCAGGGUCUUCAGUCCCUAUGAGAUAUUCUCAGCAGGCCAUGGGCUGACAGGCCUGGGGUUGGCUGUUUCCUCCAGGGAGAAGCAGAAUUUGCCCGCAUCAUGAGCAUUGUGGACCCCAACCGCCUGGGGGUAGUGACAUUCCAGGCCUUCAUUGACUUCAUGUCCCGCGAGACAGCCGAUACAGAUACAGCAGACCAAGUCAUGGCUUCCUUCAAGAUCCUGGCUGGGGACAAGAACUACAUUACCGUGGACGAGCUGCGCCGCGAGCUGCCGCCUGACCAGGCCGAGUACUGCAUCGCGCGGAUGGCCCCCUACACCGGCCCCGACUCCGUGCCAGGUGCUCUGGACUACAUGUCCUUCUCCACGGCACUGUACGGCGAGAGUGACCUCUAAUCCACCCUGCCCGGCCGCCCUCGUCCCGUGCGCCGUGCCCUGCCUUGCACCUCCGCCGUCGCCCAUCUCCUGCCUAGGUUCGGUUUCAGCUCCCAGCCUCCACCGGGGCGAGCUGGGGCCCACGUGGCAUCGAGCCUCCCUGCCCGCGAAGUGACAGUUUACAAAAUUAUUUUCUGCAAAAAAGAAAAAAAAAAGUUACGUUGAAAACCAAAAAACUACAUAUUUUAUUAUAGAAAAAGUAUUUUUUUCUCCACCAAAUGGAAAAAAAGAGGAAAGAUUAACUAUUUGCACCGAAAUGUCUUGUUUUGUUGUGACAUAGGAAAAUAACCAAGCACAAAGUUAUCUUCCAUCCUUUUUACUGAUUUUUUUUUCUUCUAUCUGUUCCAUCUGCUGUAUUCAUUUCUCCAAUCUCAUGUCCACUUUGGUGUGGGAGUCGGGGUAGGGGGUACUCUUGUCAAAAGGCACAUUGGUGCAUGUGUGUUUGCUAGCUCACUUGUCCAUGAAAAUAUUUUAUGAUAUUAAAGAAAAUCUUUUGAAAUGGCUGUUUUUUAAGGAAGAGAAUUUAUGUGGCUUCUCAUUUUUAAAUCCCCAGAGGUGUGACUAGUCUCUUUAUCAGCACACACUUAAAAAAUUUUAAUAUUGUCUAUAAAAAAUAGGACAAACUUGGAGAAUAUGGACAACUUUGAUAUUGCUUGGCAAGAAUGGUAUUAAAACAACCACACUCCUA
Molecule: RNA transcript, 5744 nt
Organism: Cercocebus atys (sooty mangabey)
Lineage: Eukaryota; Metazoa; Chordata; Mammalia; Primates; Cercopithecidae
Gene: ACTN1
Gene name: actinin, alpha 1
Exons: 20
Source: RefSeq, a predicted model, not a curated record